This is a non-coding RNA of Cordylochernes scorpioides, 118 nucleotides long. The record is from the annotation of a GenBank genome assembly. Lineage: Eukaryota; Metazoa; Arthropoda; Arachnida; Pseudoscorpiones; Chernetidae.
UAAGCCAUACCACAUUGAAAACAUCAGUUCUCGUCCGAUCACCGAAGUUAAGCAAUGUCAGGCCUGGUCAGUACUUGGGAGGGUGACCACCUGGUAACACCAGAUGUAGCUCUAGGCU